UAAAAUUAGAUAUGAAUACUUGGAGUCCAAAAAUAAGUAAAUAACUCCAUGAUAUACUAGUUCGGAACUCUAUUUCAAUGCAGAGUAUGUUAGCAAAUGUUUCCACACUUAAAAAAUCUAUUGUUUACUGCGUACCUUGUUUUUAAUCCAUUUAUGUAUAUGUAUAAGCAUAUAAAUAUAGAUGCUUUUAGGGCUAUAUAUUCCAGCAGAAUGUAAUGGUUCAAAAUCAUAAUCCAUGUAAUUUGAUCUUUAGUGUAGAGAUUACAAUAAGUAAUAAGCUUGUUGUUGGUCAUUGGUUCAAGUCAGCUUAGUUCACUUAACCGGUUUCUGUUAAGUUUAGUUUUUUUUUCAGUUAUGAUCUCUUUUUGUAUAUAUAAGUCUCUUGUUUAAGUUUUGAGACUUAAUAAAUUCAUUCUACUAUUUUGUACAGACUGAAACUUGUAAAGAGAGUUUGAAAGUUGUAAGAGAGAGAAAUUGAAGAAGUAAUAAGAUUGACUACCAGUGGAGUAGGCCAGAGAUACUUUGUCUCUGUGUUCGAACCACGUAUAUCUUGGUGUUCUGUUUUUGUUUUCGAUUCUGUGUUUAAUUCUUAUCUUGUGUUGGAUAAAGGCUUGUGUUGUUGACAGUAAGUUCUCUGCAUAACAAAGCUAAACAAUAUUGCUGCAGUCACUUGAAUAAAACAGAAAAGAGAGAAAAACUUAGGGAGAAGUAAAGCAAACAAACCAACCCUUUCUUUGUUAUAUUAGUAGUUAGUAUUUAGUAUUUUGUCCAAAUUAGUUUUGAAGUUUCUAAUACUUAUGGUCGUUCCACAGCCUGUAGGUUUAAUUCAUGAACAAAGUAAUGUCCUUGCUAGACAGUUACCUCAACAUAUUGAGAUACUUGUCUCGGCAGUCACUCAUAUCAAUGAACCUGACAGCUUAUAUGGGAUCAUUCUGUCCAACAAGGUAAGUAAUACAUGUAUAUUUAGCUUUGAAUUGUAGUUAAAGGUAAGUAAUACAACUGAACAAGCUUUGCUAUAAUAGUUUUGACCAUCUAGAUUGGUUUUUUUUUUCUUUUUUUCAGAGAUUGUUGUUUUGUGAUUUACUAAUUUGUUAGUGAUUUAUCACACUCUUCCCAAAAAAUUAACUUCUUUUACCUUAAUUGUCCUUGUAUGUUCCAUGUGCCAAGGUUAUGUGAAAAUUUAAAACCUUAUCACUUGUAUUUUGAUGGACAUCUAUGAAAGAGGAGUGAAAGUUUGUUGUGCUCAACUUUCUUGCAUCUGUCAUUAACCUGUUAUAAAUUCAUGAAAUAAGCAUGUACUCAUGGUUGUCCUUUUUUUUUUUCUUUUUCUUAGGGGUGAUAUCAUUAUAAGCUGACCUCUCUAGUUUAGUAUUUUCCAUCUGUCUUUUUGGUCAUCAAUUAUUUUGCAGUAUGAGGCCGCUUGGCAUGCUGGAAACUGGAUUUUUUCCUUGCUUUACAUGGGAGAUAAUUCAUAGAGUGAGCAAAACUAAAAGUGGCCAUUUCAAUGAAAAUCUGCAAUAAAGAUAAGUGCACAAGGAUGAUGAAUUGAAUGAUGGAGCAAGUUUCAUGCAUGAUUUACUUUUGUGUAUCUUGUGAUGUUUCUGUUUUUCAUUUUUGAAGUAAAAAAUGUUCUAAGAUUAUAAAACUUUAUUAUGUUAUGCUUUCAAACUUAAGUUAGAACUAAGAUCUCAUGAAGUAGACACAUUCAUGGUUUGAAUUAGUUAUUGUUUAAUGUAAUACUUAUGGUUUAUCAAUCUAUUGAGAAUUACAUUUUA
This is a long non-coding RNA of Humulus lupulus (European hop), 1775 nucleotides long. RefSeq lists it as uncharacterized. Lineage: Eukaryota; Viridiplantae; Streptophyta; Magnoliopsida; Rosales; Cannabaceae. The transcript has 2 exons. The record is from RefSeq and is a predicted model, not a curated record.